GCUGCACACACACUAAAACACAUUAGAAACACACACACACUUCACGUUAACACCAUUUCUUUGGUGUUCAAGCUUUUGACCUCCGAUUUGAGCACCGAGACGAGCGCUGAUCAUCUUUUCGAUCACGUAUCUAAGUAGGUCCUUUUGGGAAGUAACGACUUGAGGGAGAGAGUGACGUUACUCAUUGAUACAGAGACACAACGAGGUUGAGCUGAUGUGAUGAUGGUGCUGCAAUGAGCGGAGUCUCCAGGGUUGUUAAUAAAUAGUUAACCUGUCUAGAAUAUGUCUUCAUACAUAUGUCUAGCUACUUUCCGCUGCAAGAUGUUGUUGAUGUUAUAGUAUGUUAUGUCAUACUUUGAGUCUUAAGAGAAUGGUUUCAUAUGAUGUAUAACUUGAUUAAUGAUAUUAAUUAACUUUUAUGCAGUCUUUCAUAGACUGUUUUCAAUUGAGUAUUAAUGAAUAAAAAUGACGAGUUUUAUUAA
Molecule: long non-coding RNA, 482 nt
Organism: Salvia miltiorrhiza (redroot sage)
Lineage: Eukaryota; Viridiplantae; Streptophyta; Magnoliopsida; Lamiales; Lamiaceae
Exons: 3
Source: RefSeq, a predicted model, not a curated record